GAAAUAAGAAACUCAAAGAUAAGCUUCUAACUUAAUCUUUAAGCAAUGAAAUUUUGUUUUUAUUUCU
This 67-nucleotide transfer RNA is filed under the name Dercetina varipennis. RNAcentral describes it as "tRNA-Ser". The record is from RNAcentral. Lineage: Eukaryota; Metazoa; Arthropoda; Insecta; Coleoptera; Chrysomelidae.